This is a long non-coding RNA of Medicago truncatula (barrel medic), 394 nucleotides long. RefSeq lists it as uncharacterized. The transcript has 2 exons. The record is from RefSeq and is a predicted model, not a curated record. Lineage: Eukaryota; Viridiplantae; Streptophyta; Magnoliopsida; Fabales; Fabaceae.
CUUAUGUUUUUACUUAUAAAUUCAAACAUUUUCUCAGUUGGUACAUUGUAAACAAUAAAAAACAUGGCUAAAAUUCUCAAAUACGUUCAAGUUAUGUUCAUCUUUCUAUCUCUAUUUCUUGUUGUAACCGACGCUAGUACUUCUUCCUUCCUCAUAAAAGAAAACACUUUUGUUAUUGAGUGUUAUACCAACACAGAUUGUGUACAUCGUGUGUGCAAACCUCCUGCUGCUCCGAAGUGCCUUAAUUGUCUUAGGUGUAUUUGUUUAUGAUUUAUUUGUAUGUCAUAAUGCUACUACAAUUAUGAUUUUUGGGACACUUUAAUUUAUGUUUCUGUAAAAUUUCCCUAUUGUAAAGCUCAUAAGAAUUUUAUAGACAAAUCCUAUAUUAUAAAAA